GAUUUGUUAAAACCAAAAUGCUAAUCGUUGAAUUAAUCGUAUACGUAUGUAUACUGAUUGGACUAAUUAGACAACAGCACCAGCUAGCAAAUGCCAAAGAGGUUUGUAUAGGUGUACUCUAUAUAUGAUGAGUAAGUGGUUCGGCCGGCGGCUCGUUUUGUUUUCUUCGCAGGGAAAGCAUCCUUAGUAAGCAAGUAGGAGGUUUAGGAAUCCCUCGCCUCCUCCACUCUCCCCAGUAGUACCGCUGCUCCUCCUCGUCGUCGUCGUCCGUCGAACCCGCCUCCGUCGGCCGCAAGUCGGCGACCACUACGGCCUCCUGCCCAUGGUCACCUUCUUCAUGCCGGUCUUCAAGUAGUUCUUGUAGGUCUUUUAGUCCUCGAUGAAGGCCACGGCGCUGUCCGCCACGCCGCGGUUCUUCUUCCACCUCACCGUCGGCCCGCUGGGGUCGCAGGCGCAGCAGAUGCUGCCGCGCGUGGACGUGCCGAGGGGCAGCAGUAGGUUGCCGCCGCCGCCGCCGGUCCUGCCGCGGCGGUUGGCCAUGCUAGAGUCGUGGGUCAUGAAGCCGCCGCGCCGAGGGUGCGGCGUCUGCGCCACUGGUCUGCUGCGCUGCCCGCGGCGGCCGGCCACCGCGGUAGUCCUCCUGCACACCAUCGACAACUUACCGGCCGCCACCGCCACGGCCCCGCGGCGGCCACGUCGCAACAGCUGCCACAUCCACCGUCUAAUAGACGCCAGUUGCACUAAUGUUGUCCACGUGAUCGAUCGACCAACUCGCCAGCGUGACGAUGCUGAUCAUCAUGAGGAUGCAUGCAUCGAGGCAAACAAAGGACAUACAUACAUACAUACAUGCUAAUCAAGUUGAGACCAUGGACUCCGGCGCUCACGUGGUCGUAAUUGAUCGUCAUUGUGGACUCCGACAGUGCGAUUUACGGUUUUACAUGUUCACCUAGCCCAGCGACCCAACUGAGAAGUUUUCGGAAGAACGUGGUCUGUGGUGUCGGCUGAUGAUUUUUUUAAGUAAUCUUCAUGUUUUAUUGGGUUGUAUUUAAUGUAGCUCCAGGUGACGGCGGUCGUCUUGCGGGGAAACAUCGAGGAGAGUACGGCUUCGGAACAGCUACUGUCGGUUCUUCGUAAGCACGUGCACGCGGUGUUUCGGUCAGUAGCGGCAACUUGAGAACUUAGCUAGACUUUUUAGACAAACUCGGUGAAAAAAGGACCGUGCACACUAGUCUUAGCUUGCCGGUUCUCUUUUCGCGGCGACGUGUCCCAGGUAAGUCGGCUGC
Molecule: ribosomal RNA, 1283 nt
Filed under: Triticum aestivum (bread wheat)
Lineage: Eukaryota; Viridiplantae; Streptophyta; Magnoliopsida; Poales; Poaceae
Description: partial small subunit ribosomal RNA
Source: RNAcentral